UAGAAUUUUGAGAAAACAAAUUUCAUUUGC
This 30-nucleotide non-coding RNA is filed under the name Rattus norvegicus (Norway rat). The record is from RNAcentral. Lineage: Eukaryota; Metazoa; Chordata; Mammalia; Rodentia; Muridae.